This 835-nucleotide long non-coding RNA is filed under the name Lathyrus oleraceus (garden pea). RNAcentral describes it as "Pisum sativum (pea) long non-coding RNA (PSAT_LNC040161)". Lineage: Eukaryota; Viridiplantae; Streptophyta; Magnoliopsida; Fabales; Fabaceae. The record is from RNAcentral.
CUAUCGACAAAGUUGUUUUGGUUUGCUUCAGGCUAUUCACACUGCCAUUUCGGUCAACUACGGCCUAUCUCAGAGUUGUUUCGACCUUCCGUAGGCAUCAACAACUCUUUGGUCUUGUGCGAAUUAGUUGCUGGAAAUGGUUGAAAAGCUUAACACAAUUUGCAUCAAGGAACAUAGUCAGAUAUAUUAACAUAUAUUUUAUAGGAAGGGCAUGCCAUUAUUUGCGGAAUUACAUAACAUAGAGUAAAAUAAACACUUUAAACAAUGAUAUAAAAAUAUGUAUACUAAAGAACAUAUGUUUUUAAAAGUAACUAAGAAUUUAACUAAGUGUAGUAAAAACAUUUCAUAUAUUUGGUGUUCCUUGUAUUUAUUUUAUGAUCCUUAACUUGUGUAAUUGUUAACACAAACAUGUCAGCAUUAGGUUUAGAUUAAAGGCAAAGACAAAAGUAGACAAUCAUGUUUAAAGGUUAAUCCUUUGGAGAGAAAGAAAUAUGAUAAUUGAAACUUUUUUGAUUGUUUUACUUCAUGUAGAACAAUAUGGAUGGAGGGGACAACAUAACUUUGUCCAAUUGAAAUUGCUUUAAUCUUUCAGUUUUGUUCUGAUAUAACGUAGUCUAGCUUUUCUUAAGGUUGUGGUAUUUUAAUUGUUAUGUCAUUUUACUUUUAUUUACUACUAUUAUAUAUAUAAAAGAUUAGUGAGCAUGUGGAUCUAUGUGCUUGCAUAUAUGAAAUUAAUGAUCAUACUGACAAUCUUCCACUACAACAUUUUUACCCUAUAGCAACGCCUAGUUUUUGGGAGGUAAAAAUAUUAUUCUCAUAGAUUGUAAUAGGCAAC